RNAcentral lists this ribosomal RNA (878 nucleotides) under uncultured bacterium. Its description in RNAcentral is "bacterial SSU rRNA". It matches the Rfam family "Bacterial small subunit ribosomal RNA", at positions 8 to 862 of the family's 1533-position model. The record is from RNAcentral.
AGAGGUUGAUUCUGGCUCAGGAUGAACGCUGGCGGCGUGCCUAACACAUGCAAGUCGAACGGAGAAUUUUAUUUCGGUAGAAUUCUUAGUGGCGAACGGGUGAGUAACGCGUAGGCAACCUACCCUUUAGACGGGGACAACAUUCCGAAAGGAGUGCUAAUACCGGAUGUGAUCAUCGUGCCGCAUGGCAGGAUGAAGAAAGAUGGCCUCUACAAGUAAGCUAUCGCUAAAGGAUGGGCCUGCGUCUGAUUAGCUAGUUGGUAGUGUAACGGACUACCAAGGCGAUGAUCAGUAGCCGGUCUGAGAGGAUGAACGGCCACAUUGGGACUGAGACACGGCCCAAACUCCUACGGGAGGCAGCAGUGGGGAAUCUUCCGCAAUGGACGAAAGUCUGACGGAGCAACGCCGCGUGAGUGAUGAAGGAUUUCGGUCUGUAAAGCUCUGUUGUUUAUGACGAACGUGCAGUGUGUGAACAAUGCAUUGCAAUGACGGUAGUAAACGAGGAAGCCACGGCUAACUACGUGCCAGCAGCCGCGGUAAUACGUAGGUGGUGAGCGUUGUCCGGAAUUAUUGGGCGUAAAGAGCAUGUAGGCGGCUUAAUAAGUCGAGCGUGAAAAUGCGGGGCUCAACCCCGUAUGGCGCUGGAAACUGUUAGGCUUGAGUGCAGGAGAGGAAAGGGGAAUUCCCAGUGUAGCGGUGAAAUGCGUAGAUAUUGGGAGGAACACCAGUGGCGAAGGCGCCUUUCUGGACUGUGUCUGACGCUGAGAUGCGAAAGCCAGGGUAGCGAACAGGAUUAGAUACCCCGGUAGUCCUGGCCGUAAACGAUGGGUAAUAGGUGUAGGAGGUAUCGACCCCUUCUGUGCCGGAGUAACGCAAUA